AUGCUGGCUGCCAUCUUGAUAUUCGGUCUCGGUGUUGCGAAGUAUGGGGAGAGAACAUGUGCGCUCUGGUUCGCCAACUUCAGCAGGCUCCGGAGCUCUCUCAAGGUGGUACCACGUGACAAGCAUCACCAAAAUUUUUACACCGAGCAUCAGCACGGCUACGACGACUCCAACGGUGAACUCCUGCAGCUUGCUCACUCCCUGUUUCAUAUCUGCAAGCGUGGGAUAGUUGAUUCCGUGAUGAUGGUGGAUCCAGAUAGCCUGAGCGAGCUGGAUUCUUUGGACAACACAAUAAUCCAUGGCCUCAUGAAAGACCGUGAGCGCAUGUGGACUGUGAUGGAGAUGGAGCUCUCCCUUAUGUACGACAUCCUCUACACCAAGUUGAGCGGCAAAGAUGGUGACAGCCAAGCUGAUGUUGUCGUCACAUUCACCUUGUUGGUUGUUGCCUUGGUCCUGGAGACAAAAUCCCUUGUAGGUGCACUUGGGUCAAGCUGGGUGUUUGCCUUCUUGUGUGCUACACGAUGUAAUUGGCUUCGGCAUGCAGCUCUGUGCAGUGGAAGGUGGCACGGGUUUCGCCACAGACUUGGAUCUCUCCGCCGGUCUUGGCCUGGAAAGGUGAUAAUUACACGAAAUUCGAGGACAUGGUCAGGCACCAUGGGGCAGCACAACAUGUUGCAGUUCCGCACCAGACAGAUGGAUUCGAGGAGUCUCCAGCUCGGCAAUCUUUUCAAGAGGGUGGGGCUCAGCGAGUCGUUUGACAGAAGGUGCUACUCAUGGACUGUUGAGGUCCCAGAGAAGGUCAAGGAGCGUGCACAGCAGGUGGACGACAUAGUCUCACUGGGUGAUAUAAACACAAUGGGCAUGCUCAGGUAUAAUUGGCGUAAAAUGGCGCUGAGUGAGAAGAAGUACCCUGGGCUGUACAUGGAGUUGGAGGGCUGGCAUGGAGUUGACUUCCACGAGAGCAUCAUCAGCUGGCACAUCGCCACCGACUUGAUCCUCGCUGCAAGGCAGCCAAGCGGCCAUGACGCAGCUGACGGCCGUGUGGAGGCAGUCAGGGCACUGUCCAACUACAUGAUGUUCCUCCUGGUGGAUCGCCCCGACAUGCUACCAGGCCUUCCUCAAAACUGGCUGUACAAGAAAACCUGCACCAAUCUGGACGAGUUGUGUAAAAAACACCUAGUUGGUUCUCGAGGCAACAUCUUCACCGCGCUCAAGAGAUUGUUUGGACCACACCAUCACCGCCGUUGCUUAAAUCCUUCUAAGCUCGAGAAGGAGCUUGCCGGGAUCAUACUGGAGCUGCCACACGAGGAGAAUUUCAACUACUACGAAACUCCUCGGCUCAUGUACGCACGCAAGAUUGCUCGGAUACUGCGUCGUAGGGACGAAGAUGAGGUGGAUGUGCUGCUAGACGUGUGGACCGACUUCAUGGCCUAUGCAGCCAACCGGUGCAGCAGGGAGGCGCACGCCAGGAACCUAAACAGCGGAGGUGAGUUGACGACUGUGCUCUGGCUUAUGAUAGAGCACCUCCGCUUGAUAAAACUAAAAGGAGAUGCAACAAAGGUUGACGCUCGUGUGUAA
RNAcentral lists this ribosomal RNA (1578 nucleotides) under Triticum aestivum (bread wheat). RNAcentral's name for it is "partial small subunit ribosomal RNA". Lineage: Eukaryota; Viridiplantae; Streptophyta; Magnoliopsida; Poales; Poaceae. The record is from RNAcentral.